Molecule: ribosomal RNA, 427 nt
Filed under: uncultured prokaryote
Description: bacterial SSU rRNA
Rfam family: Bacterial small subunit ribosomal RNA
Source: RNAcentral
UGGGGAAUUUUGGACAAUGGGCGAAAGCCUGAUCCAGCAAUGCCGCGUGCAGGACGAAGGCCUUCGGGUUGUAAACUGCUUUUGUACGGAACGAAAAGACACUGGCUAAUACCUGGUGUUGAUGACGGUACCGUAAGAAUAAGCACCGGCUAACUACGUGCCAGCAGCCGCGGUAAUACGUAGGGUGCGAGCGUUAAUCGGAAUUACUGGGCGUAAAGCGUGCGCAGGCGGUUUUGUAAGACAGAGGUGAAAUCCCCGGGCUCAACCUGGGAACUGCCUUUGUGACUGCAAGGCUAGAGUGCGGCAGAGGGGGAUGGAAUUCCGCGUGUAGCAGUGAAAUGCGUAGAUAUGCGGAGGAACACCGAUGGCGAAGGCAAUCCCCUGGGCCUGCACUGACGCUCAUGCACGAAAGCGUGGGGAGCAAACA